CCUACAUCCAUUGACUACUUGGGAUUAUUCUCUAAGUGAUUAUUUUUAAGUGGUACUCGGGCACAUAGAAGCAGCCACUGUUCUAUGUGCAGAGAAAACCUGUAUUUUCAUUGGCCUGAUGGAAAUUGUUUGGAACAUGAGAGAGCAGCUGGAAGGACCCUCAACCCGCUGAACACCAACACAUGUUUUUGAAGAGCCUGGUAAACAGAACAAUGCAGCGGGGCUGGUGCUGUGAGCAGACACCUCAACACUGCGGGCUCUCUGCUCCCGUAUCUGUCAAUAUAAACAACGUCGAGAAGGUUUAAUGGACUGCAUAAAUCAGCGGGACACACGGACUGGAUAACCAACAUAGUCAUGAGCAAGAAUUUCCUUUGAUUUCGCUUAUUGCACUGCAUCCAUGUGACCAAAGUGAUCUAGCUUCUCUGAUCUGUUCUGACCACUGCUCCACCUCACACCCAGGCGUGGAUGCUGCCCACCCACUCCAGGAGCCGACCCCGGUACCAGGCUCGUGUGAGCGGCUGAACGAGAAGCAGGAGUCGAAACCUGCGGAGGAGCCCGCAGAAGAUCGCGGCCGCCACGACCACAAGCGGAGACAUCAUCACAAAGCCCAGGAUGAUGAGGGCGGAGCAGCUGUUGUCGUCAAGAAUGAAAACACUGCACUCUGGAACUCACCGUGAACGGUCUGCACUAGUUCAUAGUAUCUUGAGUUUUGACUCGACACGUUAUUUUGCUUAAGGCAAUACUAUGUGUGACAUCACAGGAAGAGGCACAAGAAUCAAAGUGAACAAUG
Long non-coding RNA from Solea senegalensis (Senegalese sole), 790 nucleotides. RefSeq lists it as uncharacterized. Lineage: Eukaryota; Metazoa; Chordata; Actinopteri; Pleuronectiformes; Soleidae. The record is from RefSeq and is a predicted model, not a curated record. The transcript is spliced from 4 exons.